CUACGGGCUGCUCCAGUGGGGAAUAUUGCACAAUGGGCGCAAGCCUGAUGCAGCCAUGCCGCGUGUAUGAAGAAGGCCUUCGGGUUGUAAAGUACUUUCAGUCGGGAGGAAGGUGGUAAGGUUAAUAACCUUAUCAAUUGACGUUACCGACAGAAGAAGCACCGGCUAACUCCGUGCCAGCAGCCGCGGUAAUACGGAGGGUGCAAGCGUUAAUCGGAAUUACUGGGCGUAAAGCGCACGCAGGCGGUUGAUUGAGUCAGAUGUGAAAUCCCCGGGCUUAACCCGGGAAUUGCAUCUGAUACUGGUCAGCUAGAGUCUUGUAGAGGGGGGUAGAAUUCCAUGUGUAGCGGUGAAAUGCGUAGAGAUGUGGAGGAAUACCGGUGGCGAAGGCGGCCCCCUGGACAAAGACUGACGCUCAGGUGCGAAAGCGUGGGGAGCAAACAGGAUUAGAUACCCUAGUAGUC
RNAcentral lists this ribosomal RNA (464 nucleotides) under uncultured bacterium. RNAcentral's name for it is "partial 16S ribosomal RNA". It matches the Rfam family "Bacterial small subunit ribosomal RNA", at positions 339 to 795 of the family's 1533-position model. The record is from RNAcentral.